Molecule: long non-coding RNA, 584 nt
Organism: Brassica oleracea var. oleracea
Lineage: Eukaryota; Viridiplantae; Streptophyta; Magnoliopsida; Brassicales; Brassicaceae
Exons: 3
Source: RefSeq, a predicted model, not a curated record
CUUGAGCCAAAAUGGCUGGUACUAUGUCUCUUGCACUCGCUGCAGCAAAAAACUAGACAGAUCUGCCGCAUCUCUCCGCUGCAACCAAUGUGUUAAUCACAAUGUCACCAAUGUAGUAAAGUACCAUGUUGAAUUAUUGGUUGAUGAUGGGAAUAACUAUGCCACUUUUGUUGUGUUCGACAAGGAGAUGCUUAAGCUCGCUAAGCAAGAUGCAGCUGCUCUUCUUCUUGAUGAGGUUUUUAUUUCUUCCCACCAACAUCUCUCAACACUCUAACAAUCACUCAAACCUCUAACUACUGCAGGUUAAUAGUGGUGUCGACAAGAAACUCAAGGCAGAACUUGGAGGGACAGAUUUAGAUUUCCAUAUACGUGUCACUCCACACAAUUUCUCCCCAGACCACUGCACCUUCACCGUUUCCGCAGCCAGUGACAGUUUUAACACCGAGAGUUGCAACAUCAAUGAAACACCAUUUGUUGAAGGGAAAUGUGGGGACGCAUCCACUUCCGCUUCUGCCAGCAACACAUCUACGGCUGAUGUGAAAGGUGGACGCAUACACCCCCAUGAAUGAGAGUUUUUAAGCAAU